UUUAAAUUGAGAGUUUGAUCCUGGCUCAGGACGAACGCUGGCGGCGUGCCUAACACAUGCAAGUCGAGCGGAGAAUGCGGAUAUGUUUACAUAGAAGCGUUCUUAGCGGCGGACGGGUGAGUAACACGUGGGUAACCUGCCUCAAAGUGGGGGAU
This 155-nucleotide ribosomal RNA is filed under the name Proteiniclasticum ruminis. RNAcentral describes it as "16S rRNA. Bacterial SSU". It matches the Rfam family "Bacterial small subunit ribosomal RNA", at positions 1 to 144 of the family's 1533-position model. The record is from RNAcentral. Lineage: Bacteria; Bacillati; Bacillota; Clostridia; Eubacteriales; Clostridiaceae.